RNAcentral lists this ribosomal RNA (237 nucleotides) under Bacilli bacterium. RNAcentral describes it as "partial 16S ribosomal RNA". It matches the Rfam family "Bacterial small subunit ribosomal RNA", at positions 1 to 215 of the family's 1533-position model. Lineage: Bacteria; Bacillati; Bacillota; Bacilli. The record is from RNAcentral.
UUUUUGGAGAGUUUGAUCUUGGCUCAGGACGAACGCUGGCGGCGUGCCUAAUACAUGCAAGUCGAGCGCUGGAAGCUAAUUUCAUCCCUUCGGGAUGAAAUUAGUGGAAAGAGCGGCGGACGGGUGAGUAACACGUGGGCAACCUACCUAUAAGACUGGGAUAACUCGCGGAAACGUGAGCUAAUACCGGAUAAUACUUUUUAUUGCAUAGUAAGAAGUUUGAAAGGCGGCGUAAGC